Long non-coding RNA from Cololabis saira (Pacific saury), 281 nucleotides. RefSeq lists it as uncharacterized. Lineage: Eukaryota; Metazoa; Chordata; Actinopteri; Beloniformes; Belonidae. The record is from RefSeq and is a predicted model, not a curated record. The transcript has 3 exons.
UUCAUUCAUAUUUCCUUUGCAAUCAUUUAGUUGAAUCCUUUGAUUCCAGAUUCCUCUCUGAUCGACACCAGCGUGAUCAUCGGAUCAGCAGUCGGGGGUGAUGGUGGUUCUGGCUGCUGUUGUUAUUUUCAUCAUAUGCAGGAAGAAAACCAAAGAAACAGAAGAUCAGCAGAAUGAAUCAAAUGUUCAGCAGCUGAUGCUCCACAAUGAUGAUCCAGAGAACAAUGUUACUUAUGCUGCUGUUGGUGGUUUCAAUCCAAAUACUUCCACUAAAAUAAAGG